GCGUUGUUGGGUAGGGGAGCGUUCUGUAAGCCUGCGAAGGUGACCUGUGAGGGUUGCUGGAGGUAUCAGAAGUGCGAAUGCUGACAUAAGUAACGAUAAAGCGGGUGAAAAGCCCGCUCGCCGGAAGACCAAGGGUUCCUGUCCAACGUUAAUCGGGGCAGGGUGAGUCGACCCCUAAGGCGAGGCCGAAAGGCGUAGUCGAUGGGAAACGGGUUAAUAUUCCCGUACUUGGUGUUACUGCGAAGGGGGGACGGAGAAGGCUAUGUUGGCCGGGCGACGGUUGUCCCGGUUUAAGCGUGUAGGUGUGUGUUCCAGGUAAAUCCGGUUCACUUUAACACUGAGGCGUGACGACGAGGCACUACGGUGCUGAAGCAACAAAUGCCCUGCUUCCAGGAAAAGCCUCUAAGCAUCAGGUAACAUCAAAUCGUACCCCAAACCGACACAGGUGGUCAGGUAGAGAAUACCAAGGCGCUUGAGAGAACUCGGGUGAAGGAACUAGGCAAAAUGGUGCCGUAACUUCGGGAGAAGGCACGCUGACACGUAGGUGAAGUGAUUUACUCAUGGAGCUGAAGUCAGUCGAAGAUACCAGCUGGCUGCAACUGUUUAUUAAAAACACAGCACUGUGCAAACACGAAAGUGGACGUAUACGGUGUGACGCCUGCCCGGUGCCGGAAGGUUAAUUGAUGGGGUCAGCGCAAGCGAAGCUCCUGAUCGAAGCCCCGGUAAACGGCGGCCGUAACUAUAACGGUCCUAAGGUAGCGAAAUUCCUUGUCGGGUAAGUUCCGACCUGCACGAAUGGCGUAAUGAUGGCCAGGCUGUCUCCACCCGAGACUCAGUGAAAUUGAACUCGCUGUGAAGAUGCAGUGUACCCGCGGCAAGACGGAAAGACCCCGUGAACCUUUACUAUAGCUUGACACUGAACAUUGAGCCUUGAUGUGUAGGAUAGGUGGGAGGCUUUGAAGUGUGGACGCCAGUCUGCAUGGAGCCGACCUUGAAAUACCACCCUUUAAUGUUUGAUGUUCUAACGUGGACCCGUUACCCGGGUUGCGGACAGUGUCUGGUGGGUAGUUUGACUGGGGCGGUCUCCUCCUAAAGAGUAACGGAGGAGCACGAAGGUUGGCUAAUCCUGGUCGGACAUCAGGAGGUUAGUGCAAUGGCAUAAGCCAGCUUGACUGCGAGCGUGACGGCGCGAGCAGGUGCGAAAGCAGGUCAUAGUGAUCCGGUGGUUCUGAAUGGAAGGGCCAUCGCUCAACGGAUAAAAGGUACUCCGGGGAUAACAGGCUGAUACCGCCCAAGAGUUCAUAUCGACGGCGGUGUUUGGCACCUCGAUGUCGGCUCAUCACAUCCUGGGGCUGAAGUAGGUCCCAAGGGUAUGGCUGUUCGCCAUUUAAAGUGGUACGCGAGCUGGGUUUAGAACGUCGUGAGACAGUUCGGUCCCUAUCUGCCGUGGGCGCUGGAGAACUGAGGGGGGCUGCUCCUAGUACGAGAGGACCGGAGUGGACGCAUCACUGGUGUUCGGGUUGUCAUGCCAAUGGCACUGCCCGGUAGCUAAAUGCGGAAGAGAUAAGUGCUGAAAGCAUCUAAGCACGAAACUUGCCCCGAGAUGAGUUCUCCCUGAGACUUA
Molecule: ribosomal RNA, 1624 nt
Filed under: Salmonella enterica subsp. enterica serovar Heidelberg
Lineage: Bacteria; Pseudomonadati; Pseudomonadota; Gammaproteobacteria; Enterobacterales; Enterobacteriaceae
Description: bacterial LSU rRNA
Rfam family: Bacterial large subunit ribosomal RNA
Source: RNAcentral